RNAcentral lists this ribosomal RNA (338 nucleotides) under uncultured bacterium. Its description in RNAcentral is "bacterial SSU rRNA". It matches the Rfam family "Bacterial small subunit ribosomal RNA", at positions 28 to 378 of the family's 1533-position model. The record is from RNAcentral.
GAUUAACGCUGGCGGCGUGCCUAACACAUGCAAGUCGAACGAGGUAGCAAUACCUAGUGGCAGACGGGUGAGUAACGCGUGGUCAACCUACCGUUGAGUGGGGGAUAACUAGCCGAAAGGUUAGCUAAUACCGCAUACGUCUCCGAGGGGCAUCCCCUGGCGAUAAAAGGAGCAAUCCGCUCGAUGACGGGACCNCGUCCCAUUAGCUAGAUGGUGGGUAACGCCUACCAUGGCACCGAUGGGUAGCUGGUUUGAGAGAGCGACCAGCCACACUGAGACUGAGAAACGGCCCAGACUCCUACGGGAGGCAGCAGUGAGGAAUUUUCCGCAAUGGGCGC